Long non-coding RNA from Rhincodon typus (whale shark), 4077 nucleotides. RefSeq lists it as uncharacterized. The transcript is spliced from 5 exons. The record is from RefSeq and is a predicted model, not a curated record. NCBI's taxonomy places the organism in Eukaryota, Metazoa, Chordata, Chondrichthyes, Orectolobiformes, Rhincodontidae.
AGGGAAAUAUUUAGUGAAGAAGUCUCGCAGAACAGAUGUAGAAGACUUGACUCCAAAUCCAAGAAAAUUACUGCAGAUUGGGAAUGAGCUUAGAAAACUAAACAAGGUGAUUAGUGAUCUGACACCUGUAAGUGAACUGCCAUUAACUGCCAGACCAAGGUCCAGAAAAGAGAAGAACAAACUUGCGUCCAGUUGAAUAGGCUACCUAUCCUUGGGAUGUGGAGUGUACCUUUUCAGAAAAUGAUGACUACCUUAUUCUAAGGGGCUUGUCGCUUAAAGAAAAAGGCUCAGUACGAGGCUAACAAAGUAAAACUAUGGGGUCUGAAUACUGAAUAUGAUCAUCUGCUUUAUGUGAUUAACUCAAUAAAACAGGAAAUAGUAAAUAGAGUACAGAGUCCGGGAGAGAAAGGAAGUGGAAGCAUCCUAGAAAAACUUGAAAAUCUCUUAAAUGAGACACUUGGGACAACAGUAGCUGGACAAACAUCUGACUUUGUCAAUCAAGUUUUAGAAAAAACAGGAGAAGGAGACCCAACAGGUGGUCUUGAAGGUCUUCGAGUACCUACAUCAAAAGUGUAACAUGAUACGCUCUGUCAGAAGCAGCUUCAGCCUAUAGUUACAUGUUUGCCAUUUCUGUGAUAAAUGUUUGAUUCAUUAUAGCAAAUGACAUUUUGUUAGUUGUGUUAAACCUGCUUGAAAAAGAGAGGGAAAACUCAUGUUGACAUAUUAGAGUUCUAUAAAAAGAAAUGCACAUUGAGAUAAGUAUGGUUAUGUGCGCUCAGGUACUAAUGAGGUAAAUUUCACUUACCUAUAAAAUGAGCUAGGGAUUGAUGUGUUCUAAAAUGUUGGUAGGAACUUAUGUUAAGUUUCCAUAGAAAAGUGGAUGUAGUAGUUGAAUCAAGAAAUCAAGAAAAUUAGUUUGUAAUUCUUUUUAAAGUUAACCGCUGUUGCAGAAUUUUUUUCCAUUAGUAACAUUAUAUAUUCCUUUUGUAUAUACUAUAUAUUCUUGUAUUAUUAAGUAUGUGUUAAAUAGUUAAUAUAGUGAAUUACAUGGCCUUUUCCAGACAUUGUGUGAGUAUUUAAGUUUGAGACAGGAGUAAUAUUCUUUGUGCCUUGUAUUUAAAUGAAAGUCAAGAUGUAAGGUGUAAUGGAUAUACAGUGGGUAAAUUUUAUGGAUUUUAAAAAAGUAUUCAUUUAUUUUCACUCUUUGGCUGUUUAAACCAUUAUGAAUGUAUAUAGGAAUAUUUCAGCAAUGUAGAUAUAUGCCACAGAGUCUGUAUUGUAUAAAGAUGGUUAUUGAAACAUGAGUUUCGGUACUUUUCAGAAAUAUUUGCACACUAUUUUGUACCAAAGACAAAUGCAACUAUAUGGCAUAAUGCCAGUGAAGUAAGGUUUUGCACAGCUUACACUGAUACAAAAUUGAAUGUAAUCAGGGUUGGGGUUAGGGUUUUACUAGAACUGUGAAAUAUGUUGUGUGGGUCCAAAUAGCCACAAAAAGAGGAUGCAAGUACACUUUAUCUGAUUUUGAUCCUAUAAACUAUUGUUAAGCUUCUAGAAAAUCAGAUAUCUUGUCUUCUGCAGAUGUAGAUGCAUAACAAAAGAAUGUAAUUUAUUUGUAGUUCUGUGUUAACAUUUCAGUGUAAUAUAGUGGCUUGCAAUUGUUACAUUAAAAAAGAUAAAUGCAUGUAUGUGGUACACUCUUGAAGGCAAAUAACCAAAAUUUGAUUUUAACAAUUUGUACAAUUGUAUAAAUGUACAUUGCCUCCCAAUUCUAAAAUUGCUAAGUUGCCACUUUUUCCAUUUAAUGUAGUAAUGUGCAUGUCAGAUUUCUAAAUGUUACUUGAUAGGAUGUAAAAAGUACUUCUAAAGCAAUAUAUUUUUGUAUUCUCAAUUAAGUAACCAAAAUAGUUAUUGUAAAAGGUAAAUAUCUAAAUUCUGUUGAUCCUUUUUGCUCAUUUGGUGUAGCUUUUCAAUUAGGACAGUAUAAAUAGACCAACAUGAGUUUUAGCUUUUAUUUUCAUAUUCAUUAGUAGUAACUGGAUUGAAAAGUUAUGUCACUUUGGUUAGGUUACAGAUCUAAAAGUUACUUCACAUGUUAGUGGGUUCAAUAAUAGUGAAGUGCUGAUUGCUGAGUGGUAUUGGACGUCAGAGUUUAACAUUAACAUCCAUCCUAUAUACUGCUGGCAGCUGUAGAAGUGCAGUUUGACCUUAUUUUUGGGUUUCUUUGUAAAUAAAAAAGCUUAUUAAUUGAUAACACUUUUUUUUUAUUUUAUGGAUAAUAGAAUUGCACUUUGUCACCAUUGCAUUUGUAUUCCUGCCAUUUGCUGCUACUCCUGACCUGUAAGAUUGCUACAGUGAUACUUGAUUUAUACCUGCUAGUAAAAUGUAUAGUUACUCUUGGGUAACAAAAUGAAAGCAAGCUGUGCAGCUUUACAUUUUACCAGGGGACUCUGUGGCAUUAAAUAGUCUAGAAAUGGUUGUAAUUUGAUGCCAGUAAUAUCUUGCUUCCUUUUUCAUAAGUAUUUUAAUGUAUGCUAAUAUAUAAAAUAACUUCUAAAAAGAGAGAUGUAUAAUGUCCUAUUUGGAAUUUUGACAGACUGAGCAUGUUAAGUGUUCUUGGAAUGAUUGAUUUAUUCUUGUCAUAAGUUCUGAAACAACAGAUCUGUAAAACUCUCCAGUUAGAAAGUACCUUGUAGCACUGAAAAGCUACAUUUUAUGAAUUUGAAUUGUCCAGUUCCAUUUUCAGAUUUAUUAUGUCUUUUUCUUCUGGCACAAUUGCAACAAUUUUUACAAUGCAGGUCUUAAAUGGAUUCUGCCACUUUAUCCCAAACCAUCAAUUUGGAUAAUUCAAAGGGAUGACUUUUUGAAAUCGAUUAGUUUUGGAUACGGAAAAGAACAUGGGUCCCAAAAUCAGAUUUAAAAAUGUAUGGUAAAAUGCUGUAUAUUCUGAGUAAAACUGAUCCAUUCAGAAAGUGUAAACCCAGCAAGUUCAAGAAGUGACUCAGUGUUUAUGCCUUAAAAAGAUGGAUUCUCAAAUAUAAACUGAUGCCAUUUACCAUUUUAGAUAAAGUACUUGCAGAACUUGUUGGAAAUUCAGUCUUGUUGGAAACUACUGAUAGGUGAGGUGCUACAUUAGAUUAAAACUGAACAAUUGAAAUCUUUACAAUAAUUAUCAGUAUCACUUGGUUUUAUGACUGGUGCUUUUUUAGUCAGAUGCAGAUAAUCCAAAUUAACAGUAGUCUGAAGGUGUAUUCUUCAUAGAAUAUUUUUUGUGACUACACCCAAGAUGAUUCGUGUGUGAUGCUUUCCAUAAUUGAACGGUAGAUUUUGUUGUGAAGAAUAACAUUCCUGUUAUUAGCCAACUUAUUCAGUUUUUAGCACCUUUCCUGUGAAAUGUAAAUUUGACAAGUCUAUAAACAUCCAUAGGAAAUGGCAAAUACUUAGUAUGAGUGCCUGGUUUAUACAAAAAUAAAAGUGUAAUAAAUUACAAACCUUUCGUUUUCACAAGUGUCUGAGUAAUUAAUUGUACCACUUUUCACACUAGCUCAAUUUGAAUUCUAGUUUUAAUUCUGAAAGAAUCUUUGUUAACAGAUCUAUCAGGAAAAUGUAAUGCUGUCCUCAUUCUCCCUAAAUCCACUUUUAUUUGACAUUUUAGGGAAAUCUGACUUAAAUUUUCAUUGCAUUUUUGCCAGUUAUGUACAUGUUACAUUUUUAUGAAUACACAUUGUGCUACAAAAAGGUUAAGUGUUGUUUUCCAUGUUGUUAUAAAUUAAAACUUUUACCAUGAAUUCAGCAGAUAAAUCCAUUCUUAAAGUUGACAGGUCUGUUGUUUCCACUAUAAAUCUACGUAUAUUCUUAAAAAAAAUUGUGUUUGACACACAGUAUAUAUUUAGUGGUGGCACUAGCUGUGGCAUUACUAUUCAUUUGAAAUCCUGACCAUCUAUGCAGUUUUCUUCCGUCAUCUAAUUGUGACAUAAGUGCUCAAUUUACAAGAAAUUUUGAACUUCUGUCUGCUUUCUUUGAAUUUGUACUGCAAUCAAUCUUGACUUAAGAAAAUUAAACCCUACGAACUGUUGGCCA